This is a long non-coding RNA of Equus quagga, 1263 nucleotides long. RefSeq lists it as uncharacterized. The record is from RefSeq and is a predicted model, not a curated record. Lineage: Eukaryota; Metazoa; Chordata; Mammalia; Perissodactyla; Equidae. The transcript is spliced from 2 exons.
CCCAGGAAGGGUCCUCCGCCCAGCUUGGGCUGCGCGGUGCGCGGGGUGCCAUUCCGGGGACUGGGGCUCGUCCGCCGUUCUCGGGGCGCCAGGAGGCCGGCUCUCCCGCACUUUCCAGUUUAACCAGGUCAAAUUUUUGCCGGGCAGGGAGCCACUCCCGGGCGGAGUGACGGACGAGAGGCUUCGCUCCAAACCGAGGCCCCCGCCCCAGGCAGAAGCAGAGCUCACGCCCCUCGCGCCCGCGGCGCCCGGGCUCGCCUUCUCGGCCUCCCUGCGAGCCGGCUGCGGGCUCCAGGGCGCCCCUCGGAGUCCGCGUGGCUGCGGGGCUCUGCCCUGGGGGCUUGUCCUCCAAGGCGACGCUAUCUCCGCUCCGCUGUUGUACCAGCACUGCGACGGUGCUCCGUGGUACGACAGGUUGGGUUUGCGUGUGUGCAGGGACACUAACUGCAGCCGUCACUGGUUAAUUCCAGCGCUGUCCUCGGCAUCCUCGCAGUGCCAGCUCCGGCCAGCCGCCGGGUCAGCGGGAAAGCCCUUCGUCGCUUAGAGCAUCUUUCCAGACCCGCUGGCUGUGUAUUUUCGCUCCGGCGGAGCGAAAUGAUUUGCACCACCGUGGUUGGCUAAUGGCGCCGUUGCAUCGCUGCGCCUAACGCUGCUUUUACUUGGAAGGAAUUUACUAUUUCACCAAUUCUUGUUGAUCUCUUCGGAGCCUGAUCUCAAAACUUGCGUGGCCCUGAAAGCGCUUUUGCUGAAUAGCUUCACCCUGACACUUCUGUACACUCACUCCCUGGGCGACUUCCCGUCUGCAUUUCAAAUACCAACUGUGUGUGCUGUAAAUACAGCUACACGUUGGGUUUUGAGGACUUAGUAUGAGAAAAUAAUGUAAAAUAUAUUGAUAAUUUUAAAAAUGUUGAUUACAGUUUGAAAUAUUUUUAUAGACUUUGUUAAAUAUUAAAAUUAAUAUCCCUUGCCACACAGCAGAGGAGACUGAGACAUGACAACUAACUGCAAUGUGCUCUCAUGGAUUGGGUCCUGGAACAGAAAGAGAACAUUAAUGCAAAAACUGAUGAAAUGCAAAUAAUAAAUCACUGAGGUCUAGUUAGUAGUAAUGUACUAGUGUUGGUUUCUUAAUUUUGACAGAUGUACCACAGUAAUGUGAAAUCUUAACAACAGGGAAAUUGAGCGAAGGGUAUAUGCCAACUCUGUACUACCUUUGCAACUUUUCUGUAAAUCGAAAAUUGCUCCAAAAUAAAAAAUUUAUUAAAA